GGAAUCCCAGGAACAAAAAAAAAUCUUUUGUCGAGCAGUUGAACUGUGCACCGCAUUUUUUUCAUUAUGCUUGUAAGGUGUCAUUUUAUCGCGCUUUUGUAGCAUGUUUUCCUUCCUGUUCAUUUGCAUGUCUUUUGGCAAAUUCAUUUUAAAAAUUAAACCCUCUACUGUAAAAAAGAUACAUAUGGUAAUCUUUGCAUUUGAAGCACGUC
RNAcentral lists this long non-coding RNA (212 nucleotides) under Mytilus galloprovincialis (Mediterranean mussel). Lineage: Eukaryota; Metazoa; Mollusca; Bivalvia; Mytilida; Mytilidae. The record is from RNAcentral.